This 557-nucleotide ribosomal RNA is filed under the name uncultured bacterium. RNAcentral describes it as "bacterial SSU rRNA". It matches the Rfam family "Bacterial small subunit ribosomal RNA", at positions 102 to 694 of the family's 1533-position model. The record is from RNAcentral.
ACGGGUGAGUAACGCGUGGGAGUCUACCCAUCUCUACGGAACAACUCCGGGAAACUGGAGCUAAUACCGUAUACGUCCUUCGGGAGAAAGAUUUAUCGGAGAUGGAUGAGCCCGCGUUGGAUUAGCUAGUUGGUGGGGUAAUGGCCUACCAAGGCGACGAUCCAUAGCUGGUCUGAGAGGAUGAUCAGCCACACUGGGACUGAGACACGGCCCAGACUCCUACGGGAGGCAGCAGUGGGGAAUAUUGGACAAUGGGCGCAAGCCUGAUCCAGCCAUGCCGCGUGAGUGAUGAAGGCCCUAGGGUUGUAAAGCUCUUUCAACGGUGAAGAUAAUGACGGUAACCGUAGAAGAAGCCCCGGCUAACUUCGUGCCAGCAGCCGCGGUAAUACGAAGGGGGCUAGCGUUGUUCGGAAUUACUGGGCGUAAAGCGCACGUAGGCGGAUACUUAAGUCAGGGGUGAAAUCCCGGGGCUCAACCCCGGAACUGCCUUUGAUACUGGGUAUCUCGAGUCCGGAAGAGGUGAGUGGAAUUCCGAGUGUAGAGGUGAAAUUCGUAGA